GCCUGGCUAGCUCAAUCGGCUAGAGCGUGUGACUUUUAAUCACAAGGUUGCGGGUUCGAGUCCCGCGUCGGGCU
The sequence is a transfer RNA, 74 nucleotides long. It matches the Rfam family "tRNA". From Rfam's summary of the family: Transfer RNA (tRNA) molecules are approximately 80 nucleotides in length. The record is from Rfam.